This 497-nucleotide ribosomal RNA is filed under the name uncultured bacterium. RNAcentral describes it as "partial 16S ribosomal RNA". It matches the Rfam family "Bacterial small subunit ribosomal RNA", at positions 28 to 507 of the family's 1533-position model. The record is from RNAcentral.
GAUGAACGCUGGCGGCGUGCCUAACACAUGCAAGUCGAGCGAACGGACCAGGAGUUUGCUUCUCUGAUGUUAGCGGCGGACGGGAGAGUAACACGUGGAUAACCUACCUAUAAGACUGGGAUAACUUCGGGAAACCGUAUCUAAUACCGGAUAAUAUUUUGCACCGCGUGGUUCAAAAGUGAAAUACGGUCUUUCUGUCACUUAUAGAUGGAUCCGCGCUGCAUUAGCUAGUUGGUAAGGUAACGGCUUACCAAGGCAAGGAGGCAUAGACGACCUCAGAGGGUGGUCGGCCACACUGGAAGUGAGACACGGUCCAGACUCCUACGGGAGGAAGCAGUCGGGAAUCUUCCGCAAUGGGCGAGAGCCUGACGGAGCACCGCGGCGUGAGUGAUGAAGGUCUUAGGAUCGGAAAACUCUGUUAUUAGGGGAGAACAGAUGUGUAAGUAACCGUGCACAUAUUGACGGUACCGGGUCAGAAAGCCACGGCUAACUACGUG